Molecule: ribosomal RNA, 429 nt
Filed under: Bacteroidota bacterium
Lineage: Bacteria; Pseudomonadati; Bacteroidota
Description: Bacteroidetes bacterium partial 16S ribosomal RNA
Rfam family: Bacterial small subunit ribosomal RNA
Source: RNAcentral
UAGGGAAUCUUCGGCAAUGGGGGGAACCCUGACCGAGCAACGCCGCGUGAGUGAAGAAGGUUUUCGGAUCGUAAAGCUCUGUUGUUAAGGAAGAACGAGUGUGAGAAUGGAAAGUUCAUGCUGUGACGGUACUUAACCAGAAAGGGACGGCUAACUACGUGCCAGCAGCCGCGGUAAUACGUAGGUCCCGAGCGUUGUCCGGAUUUAUUGGGCGUAAAGCGAGCGCAGGCGGUUAGAUAAGUCUGAAGUUAAAGGCAGUGGCUCAACCAUUGUAGGCUUUGGAAACUGUUUAACUGGAGUGCAGAAGAGGAGAGUGGAAGUCCAUGUGUAGCGGGGAAAUGCGUAGAUAUAUGGAGGAACACCAGGGGCGAAGGCGACUCUCUGGUCUGUAACUGACGCUGAGGUUCGAAAGCGUGGGUAGCAAACAGG